This 254-nucleotide ribosomal RNA is filed under the name uncultured bacterium. RNAcentral's name for it is "partial 16S ribosomal RNA". It matches the Rfam family "Bacterial small subunit ribosomal RNA", at positions 524 to 776 of the family's 1533-position model. The record is from RNAcentral.
UACGUAGGGUGCGAGCGUUGUCCGGAAUUAUUGGGCGUAAAGAGCUCGUAGGCGGUGUGUCACGUCGGCCGUGAAAACCUGGGGCUUAACUCUGGGCGUGCGGUCGAUACGGGCAUCACUAGAGUUCGGCAGGGGAGACUGGAAUUCCUGGUGUAGCGGUGAAAUGCGCAGAUAUCAGGAGGAACACCGGUGGCGAAGGCGGGUCUCUGGGCCGAUACUGACGCUCAGGAGCGAAAGCAUGGGGAGCGAACAGG